AGUGGGAUAGCUGGGUCAAAUGGUGUUUCCAUUCCAAGUUUUCUAAGGAAUCUCCGUACUGCUUUCCAUAGUGGUUGCACCAGUUUUGCAGUCCCACCAGCAAU
RNAcentral lists this microRNA precursor (104 nucleotides) under Marmota monax (woodchuck). Lineage: Eukaryota; Metazoa; Chordata; Mammalia; Rodentia; Sciuridae. The record is from RNAcentral.